This 460-nucleotide ribosomal RNA is filed under the name uncultured bacterium. RNAcentral describes it as "partial 16S ribosomal RNA". It matches the Rfam family "Bacterial small subunit ribosomal RNA", at positions 338 to 795 of the family's 1533-position model. The record is from RNAcentral.
CCUACGGGUGGCUGCAGUGAGGAAUAUUGGUCAAUGGACGCAAGCCUGAACCAGCCAAGUAGCGUGAAGGAUGACUGCCCUACGGGUUGUAAACUUCUUUUAUAAAAGGAUAAAAUGAGGCACGUGUGCCUUUUUGUAUGUACUUUAUGAAUAAGGAUCGGCUAACUCCGUGCCAGCAGCCGCGGUAAUACGGAGGAUCCGAGCGUUAUCCGGAUUUAUUGGGUUUAAAGGGAGCGUAGAUGGUUGGUUAAGUCAGUGGUGAAAGUUUGCGGCUCAACCGUAAAAUUGCAAUUGAUACUGGUAGCCUUGAGUAUAGUUGCGGUAGGCGGAAUGCGUGGUGUAGCGGUGAAAUGCUUAGAUAUCACGCAGAACUCCGAUUGCGAAGGCAGCCUACCAAACUGCAACUGACAUUGAUGCUCGAAAGCGUGGGGAUCAAACAGGAUUAGAUACCCUUGUAGUC